RNAcentral lists this ribosomal RNA (624 nucleotides) under Euripersia pennisetus. Its description in RNAcentral is "eukaryotic LSU rRNA". It matches the Rfam family "Eukaryotic large subunit ribosomal RNA", at positions 443 to 915 of the family's 3401-position model. The record is from RNAcentral. Lineage: Eukaryota; Metazoa; Arthropoda; Insecta; Hemiptera; Pseudococcidae.
CGUUGGUUUGAUAUUUCUGUCGCCGUUUACGGACGUUGCGACCCGUUUGGUGUCAGUCUUAAGGGGCGCGCGUACGUUCGUUGACGCAGUCGACUUGCUCGAUUCGCGUUGCGAGGGCGCGUUCUCCGGCUGACUUGCCAGACGGUAUGAAAUGGUGUCUGCGGCGACGUUCGCGUCGUCGUAGUGCCGGUCUGCAACGAAUCUUCGGGCCUCUUUCCGACCCGUCUUGAAACACGGACCAAGGAGUCUAACGUGCGCGCGAGUCGCGGGGUGUCGAGUAGUGGCAUUGCUGCUGCUCGUUACAAAACGAAACCCGUAUCAUAAAAGGCGCAAUGAAAGUGAAUUCCUUCAUUGGAAUGGGGAAGAUGGCGUUACUGAGUUCACGUUUCGCAACUUGUUGCGACCAGUCGCCCGCAUUCCCAGGGCGUUCCAAUGGCCCGGCGGCGUUGCGGAUCGUCAUUCCUUCGGGUGUGGCGGUCGGGCGUCGUCGAACCGGGGCGCACCUAUAGCGUGCACGUUGGUACCCGAAAGAUGGUGAACUAUGCCUGGCCAGGAUGAAGUCAGGGGAAACCCUGAUGGAGGUCCGCAGCGAUUCUGACGUGCAAAUCGAUCGUCUGAGCUGGG